UGAUCUAGCAACCAACCAUUAAAUAAAACAAAAUCUUCUGAGCAAACAUACCUAGCCUAAAAUUAAAAUUCAUAUCAUUCAUAUUGAGCCUUACUUACCACAUUUUCUUUGAGAUUGACAAGGAGAGAGCCCUCUCCCGACCUGGUAGGGCUAACUACCAGGUUAUGCGUGGUUUGAUGUUACCCUAGACCUGCCUUUAUCAGCUUGAGGUAGAUCCAGGCCAUAACACUAUCUAUUAGUUUGUUGUUGUGGUGGUCAAGGAACGAAGUGUGCACCCUUUUGGCAGGUCAUGUGCACCUAUGAGUUCGUGAUAUUGGUUGGCGGGAUUUCCAUGCGACUGGUCUUGAAACAUGAACCAAGGAGUCUAACAUGUGUGCGAGUCGGAGGGUUUGAAAACUUGUGAUGUGCAAGGAAGUUGAUGGGUGAGAUCCCAUCUCUUGGGGGUGCAUCAUUGACCAACCUUGAGCUUAUGUGAAGGGUUUGAGUGCGAGCACACUUGUUGUGACUCAAAAUAUUGUGAACUAUGCCUGAGCAAGGCGAAGCCAGAGGAAAUACUGCAGAGGCUCGUAGAGAUAUGGACAUGCAAAUUGUUCAUCUGGGUUGGGUAUAGGGGUAAAUGACUAAUCAAACCAUCUAGUAGUUGGUUUCCUUCGAAUUUUUCCUCAGGAUAGCUGGAGCUCAUGCGCGAUUUUUAUCGGCUAAAGCAAAUGAUUAAAGGCAUUGGGGGUGUAAUGCCCUCAACCUAUUCUCAAACUUUAAAUAGGUAAGAGGGUGUGGCUGCUCCAUGAGUCAUGCCACCGAAUAAAGAGCUCAAAGUGGGCCAUUUUUUGUAAGUAGAACUGGUGAUGCAGGAUGAACUGAAAGUCAAGUUACAAUGCCGAAUUGCAUGCUAACCUAGAUCCCACAAAGGGUGUUGGUUGAUUAAGACAGCAAGACAUUGGUCAUGGAAGUCGAAAUCCACUAAGGAGUGUGUAACAACUCACCUGGAAAAUCAAUUAGCCUUGGAAAUGGAUGGCUCUGAAGUGCGCAACCUAUAUUGGACCGUCAGAGCAAUUGGCUAGGUUCGAUGAGUAGGAGGAUGCGAGGGUCACUAAGAAACCUCAGGUGUGAGCUUGGGUGGAUUGGCUUCGAUGCAAAUCUUGAUGGUAUUAUAAAAUAUUCAAAUGAGAACUUUGAAUAUUGAAUUUAGGAAAGUUCCAUGUGAACGAUAGUUGGACAUGGGUUAGUCGAUUCUAUGAAAUGGGGAAGCCUUGUAUCAAGGGUGUAUUCUAAACAAGCAUCGAAAGGGAAUUGAGUUUAUGUUAACAAACUAGGACAUGGCAGUGGGUGACAAUGUUAGCAAAUCAGGAGACAUCAUCGAGGGCCCUGGGAAGAGUUAUCUUUUCUUCUUAACAUCUUGCCCACCCUAGAAUCUGUUCACCUAGAGAUAGGGUCCAAUAGCUGGAAGAGCACUGCAUGUCCUAUGAUGUCUGGUGUGCCCUCAGCGGCCCUUCAAAAUAUGGAGGAUAAAGUACCAUUCAUGCCCGUUCAUACUCAUAACCACAUCUAGUCUCCAAGUUGAACAACCUUUGGUCAAUAGAAUAAUGUAGGUAAGGGAAGUCGACAAAACAGAUCCAUAACUUCGGGAAAAUGAUUGGAUCUGCGGGCUUGACCUAGGGUUCUGCACCCUCAACUUGUGGUCUAUUGACAGUCUGCCUGAGCUGUUAUCAUAGCUAGGGGGUACAAUUGCGUGCUGAUUUGGCCAUGGGCAUAGAAUGCCACCUACCGGAGGCUUUUGCCUAGGCGGUGAAAAGUCGACUCAGAACUGAUAUGGACAAGGUGAAUCCAACUAUUUAAUUAAAACAAAGCAUUGCGAUGGUCACUACGGAUGUUGACGCAAUGUGAUUUCUACCCAUUUCUCUGAAUGUCAAAGUGAAGAAAUUCAACCAAGUGCAGGUAAAUGGUGGGAUUAACUAUGACUCUCUUAAGGUAGCCAAAUGCCUCGUCAUUUAAUUAGUGACGUGCAUGAAUUUAUUAACAAGAUUCCCACUAUCCCUAUCUAUUAUCUAGUGAAAUGACAACCAAGGGAAGAGGCUUCAUAGAACCAGUGGGGAGAGAAGAUCCUGUUGAGCUUGACUCUAGUCCAAAUUUGUGAAAUGACUUUAGAGGUGUAGAAUAAGUGGGAGUCGUUUUAGGCGCAAGAGACAUACCACUACUUUUAACAUUAUUUUACUUAUUUCGUGGGGCAGAGACAGGGCAGUGCCCCUGUUUCUGGCCUUAAAGCACAUUUCAGCGGGUCGAUCUAGGAGGAAGACAUUGUCAGGUGGGGAGUUUUCCUAGGGUGGAACAUCUGUUAAAAGAUAAUGCAGGUGUACUAAGAUGAGCUCAAUGAGAACAUAAAUCUUAUGUGGAACAAAACGGUAAAAUCUCAUUUGAUUUUUAUUUUUAGUAUGAAUACAAAUUGUGAAAGCGUGGCCUACUCAUCCUUUAGAUUUUUGGAAUUUGAAGCUAGAGUUGUCAAAAAAGUUACCACAGGGAUAACUAGCUUGUGGUAGCCAAGCGUUCAUAGGGACAUUACUUUUUGGUGCUUCAAUGUCGGCUCUUCCUAUCAUUGUGAAGUAGAAUUCACCAAAUGUUGGAUUGUUCACCCACCAAUAGGGAACGUGAGCUAGGUUUAGACCAUCGUGAGAUAGGUUAGCUUUACCCUACUGAUGAAGCAUGACGCAAUAGUAAUUUAGCUUAGUACGAGAGGAACCAUUAAUUCACAUAAUUGGUCAUUGCACUUACUUGAAAAGCUAGUGGCACGAAGCUACUGUGUUUUGGAUUACGUUUGAAUGCCUCUAACUCAGAAUACAUGGUAGAAGUGGUGCAUGUCACUCUUCGACUGUAUCUUGACCCAGAGUAGGGGCAUCAUUUUGUCACCCCUAGGGGCCCGUGUCAUUUGCGAACCGUGACUAUGAAGCAUCUCAAUCGGGGCAACUUUAAAGUUCAAUUCCAAAUGGUCGUUGAGAAGAAU
RNAcentral lists this ribosomal RNA (2995 nucleotides) under Pinus taeda (loblolly pine). RNAcentral describes it as "eukaryotic LSU rRNA". It matches the Rfam family "Eukaryotic large subunit ribosomal RNA", at positions 489 to 3301 of the family's 3401-position model. The record is from RNAcentral. Lineage: Eukaryota; Viridiplantae; Streptophyta; Pinopsida; Pinales; Pinaceae.